AAAAUUCCAUUAGGUCCCGUAAUCCCCCUCAUCAGACAUCAGGCCGAAGCCACCCUCUCACAAAAUCUACUCUCUCUCUUUCCGUUCCACCGCCUCAAUCUCCUCCUCGUCUCUCUCUCUCUCUCUCUCUGCAAUCUCCUUGCUCAGAUUCUCUUGCUACCGUAUUCUCAAUGCUGAGCCUUCCUUCGCUCUCCCUUCCUCCGAUGCUUUAGCCGACUGCGGUGACGGUGUUCCGCCGCCGGAGACGACCCCGCCGAGGAUCCCUGCGGUGGUUCUGCGGGAUUUUUCUAGGGUUUUCCAGAUUGUUGGGUUGGCUCAAGUUUUACUCACGAUACGCCUGGUUAUUUGAGUUUACUCAUUUUCUGUCAGCAUCCGCCCCUCAUCAUGGCUCCGCCGCGUCGACGCGGAGCGAACAAGGCCAAGGCCAAUGGGCACUUGAGUCUUGGGGAUCUUGUUCUUGCCAAGGUCAAGGGCUUCCCAGCUUGGCCUGCCAAGAUAAGCAGGCCCGAAGAUUGGGAGAAAACCCCUGAUCCAAAGAAAUAUUUUGUUCAAUUCUUUGGUACGAAAGAAAUUGCUUUUGUUGCCCCAGCUGAUAUUCAGGCGUUCACCACUGAGUCAAAAAAUAAGUUGUCUGCUCGUUGUCAAGGCAAGACAAAGUACUUUGCGCAAGCUGUGAAGGAAAUCUGCAUGGCAUUUGACGAGUUACAGAAACAAAAAGCCAGUAGUUUGCGGGAUGAUACUGAUGAUUCACUCAUUGGCUCAGAGGUUCCUUUUGUUGAUGGGAUUACAGGUGACUUAAAGGAUGCUACUGAUAAUGUGGUGUCAAAUGAAGAAAAGGCUAAUGAUUGUGUGGGUAAUGCUGGCUCUAAGUUAGAGCGCUGCACACAGAGAUGUGGAGAAGGUGGUGGUCAAGAUGAAAAACCCUCAGGCUGUUCAAAUGACAGUUCAUCUCCUGCUAUUCCAGCUGUGAUGAAAAGUAAACCGUCUAGUGGUUCUGAGCUAAAGAAGGAUGCUAGCAAGUCUAGUCUAAACGAUUUAUCAUGUCUUAAGGGGGAAACUUCUGAUUCUAAGGAUGUAAGCAAAGUUAAUGACCUCAGGCAAGAUGACAAUGGACAGAAGGCAUUGGCGAAUGGGAACAAAUUAAAAAAACUAGUUACUGGUACAAAGAGAAGUGAUGGUGCAGAUGGUGGAUAUAAAUGUGGUGGCUCUGAUUUGAAGGCCGAAAAAUAUGAAAGUCGUGCCAGUCUUUCGAGGUCUGGAGAGUCAUCAAGAGGUGGAAAUAAAGGGAAGAAUGCAUUUGAUGUUAAAUCAAAUUCUCCAGAUGCUCUUAAAUCAGGAUCUGAUAUUAAUGGUGGAAAAAAAGAUAAGAACCUGGAAAAAGUUAAAACAAAUCUUAAGAUGAAGAAUGAGUUACAAGAGAUGGUUGAUUCAGAGGAGGCUGAUGGUGGAAUUUCUAAUAAGCCAAAGAAGACCCAAUUUGUUCGUGCAAAGCAUAAUGUGAGAACAAAUGAAACCUUACACGCUACCAAGAAAUUGAAGCAUUUAGAUGCUAAGGAUGAGUUGACUUUAGGUUCUCCCUAUGUAAAGCCAAAGAGUGCUUCACCUGCUGUUAUCGAAGACAAAGAAUUUAAAAAAUCAGAGUUGAGGAGGUCAACAUCACGUUUGAAAACAGAAAAGAGUUUGUCUUCAAGUGUUCAAACUGAUGUUGUUGGUUCUGAUGAUACUAUCCAUGAAGUGCAACCAGGGACAAAACAUCGUAGCCAAGUACGACAGGUCAAGUCUGAUUCUGCCAGCCCUGCUUCAGAUGGAAAAACAGGUAGGAGUAACGUUAGAUUGGAAAAUGAUGGAAAUAAUGUUACAGAAAAGCCAGUAAAGAGGAAGCGUAGAGCUGUUUGCCUUUAUGAUGAUGAUGAAGAAGAACCUAAGACUCCAGUCCAUGGAGGAGCUACUAAAAAUAUUAAAUCACCUGUGUUUCUUAGAGAGCCAAAGGGGAACAAUGCACAUUCGGGGAAUUCUGAUGUUGCUCAGCUGGGUAACAGGAGUUCUAGUGGAGUUGAGAAUAGCCGAUUAAAAGAAUCAUCGUCUCAAGUAGAAAACAACUCAUUGUUGUCUAGGUAUGUUAAAAUAGAGGAGACUGAAGAAGGAAUUCCGGUCCAGAUUCCUCGAAGCCCUGAGCAUUCAGAUUUAAAGCAGUAUCCAACCAAAGUGGCAAAAAAAGUAAGCUCCUCAUCUCCUGUGAAAUCACCUCAUUUGGUUCUUCCUUCAAAGUCAAAUGCUGAGUGGAAUAAAUCUUCCAAACCUGUGUUUAAAGUUUCUGCUAAUGUUACUCAAAAGAAGGCUGAUCUUGGGUCUUCAAAGGGUUUGAAUAGUUCCAACUCUUCUCACAAUCAGCUGACAACUCAUAAAAAGAAGCCCUUGUCUUCAAUGGAAGCGUCUAAAACUACUCCUACCUUGAGAGCUGGCGAAGUUCCUGUUGCAACAGAAAACUUGAAGGAGCAUGAUGGAUUUCUUGUUGAUAGAUUAGAAGUGGGCAUGGAUGAGAAAAAUUGUCUGUACUCUGAUUCAAGGACUCCUGAAGCUGCAAAAACUAUGAAACAUCUUAUUGCAGCUGCCCAGGCAAAGAGGAGGCAAUCUCAUUCUCAAUCUGUUCCUCUUGGAAUCCAUAAUGUUCAGGGAGAGACUCCCAGCCCAUCCGCUGUUCAGCCAUUUCUUUCUGUCUCAAGCAAUUUUCCACAGGUGGAUGUACAGGGAGCAUAUGAGCACUCACUUUUGGCUUCCCCAUCUGCUCAUCACUCUGCUUCUCUGAAUCAACCUGAAGCUGAAGAAGCUGAGGAAAGAAUAGUUGGUUCAGUGCAAAGGGGGCCAGGUGGCUCACUUAGUGGUGGUACUGAAGCUGCUGUUGCUCGCGAUGCCUUUGAAGGGAUGAUAGAGACAUUAUCAAGGACCAAGGACAGUAUUGGACGUGCCACUCGUCUUGCCAUUGACUGUGCCAAGUAUGGCAUUGCAAAUGAGGUUGUUGAACUUCUUAUACGAAAGCUGGAAAGUGAAACUAGUUUUCAUCGUAAAGUGGAUUUGUUCUUUCUUGUUGACUCUAUCACUCAAUGCUCACACAAUCAAAAAGGCAUUGCAGGAUCUUCCUACAUUCCUACAGUUCAAGCUGCUCUGCCUCGCCUACUUGGUGCUGCUGCUCCCCCUGGAGCUAGUGCUCGUGAAAAUCGUCGUCAGUGUCUCAAGGUUCUAAGGCUGUGGCUUGAGAGGAAAAUCUUGCCAGAGUCUGUGCUUCGUCGUUACAUGGAUGAGAUUGGAGUGUCUAAUGAUGACAUGGUGGUUAGCUUUUCUUUCAGACGUCCAUCUCGGGCAGAGCGGGCCGUGGAUGAUCCGAUUAGAGAAAUGGAUGGCAUGCUUGUGGAUGAGUAUGGAAGCAAUGCUACAUUUCAUCUGCCUGGUUUGUUAUCCUCGCAUGUGUUUGAGGAAGAGGAGGAGGAUGAUCUUCCUACUGGUUUAUUUAAAGAUUUGCAUGAUGUAUCUCCAUCAGAUCCCACUCCUACUAUUGGAGAAUCAGAAACUUCCACUGUUACCCCUAAUGAUAAGCGCCAUCGUGUCUUGGAGGAUGUGGAUGGUGAGCUUGAAAUGGAAGAUGUGUCAGGUCAUCCAAAGGAUGAAAGGCCUGUAAUAUUCAAUAAUUCAUCAGAAAUGGAUUUGCAACUUGAGGACUCAGAUUGGAAAUUAGAUUCUGCUUCAAACAUAUCUGCAGAGAUACCUGCUCCUGAUGGUUCUCCACCAUUGCCACUUGAUUCUCCCCCUCCUCCCCCUCCUCUGCCUUCUUCACCCCCUCCACCACCACCACCUCCAUCAUCUCCAUCCCCUCCACCACCACCACCACCUCCACCACCAGUGUUGCAACCUGCACCUCCUCCCUUGCCAUCUGGAGGUCCUCCACCAUCGUUGGUUCCUCAAUCAUCUGGACUAGGCUGGUCUUCAAUGCAUGCACAACCUAUAAUGCCACCUCAACCAUCACUUCAGUCAUCCCCGUCAUUGGGGUUUCAGCAGAGCGUAUCUCAUGACUAUAAUAAUGGUAGCACAAGUGGUAAUCAAAUAGUUCAAAUGGCUGGGAAUUCUUUUCCUGGAGGUCACAAUAAUGCCGUUGUGAAGGGUGAAAUAUUCCCACAGCCUGCUCCAACAGUGGGCUGCAGUUCACAGGAGCCCACUGGCUUUAGGCAACUGGAGUAUGGACAGAAUGAUAUGUACCUAAAUGGUCAAGUUCCUCAAAUUAAUCAGCAAUUUCAGCAGGGUAACCCCCCAUUUGCUCAGAGACAUGUGCAUUCUGCUCCACCUCAAAAUCCAUCAAAUCAGUUCUCAUAUCCAAAGCCCACAGUUCAACAACUUCCUCAUUCAUUCCAUCCCCCCUACUCUAUGCCAUCUCUUCCUGAUAGCCGGAGGCAAUUUGCUGCUGAUGAACAGUGGAGGAUGCCAUCGAGUGAUUAUAAAGCAACUAACCAACUUGGUGCAUGGAGAGGGAGAAACCCUCCAUGCCCGGGUCCACCCUUUGGUCAGGAAGGGUAUUUUCGACCUCCAAUUGAAAGGCCACCAAACAACAUGGGUUUUCAGUGUUCUGCCCCAAGCAACUUACCUGCUGCUCCCCCAAUAUCAGGACACAGUGUUCCUCAGAUGUUGCCCUGUAGGCCAGACAUGCCUGCUCUUAGUUGUUGGAGACCUACUUGACCAAAUUGAAGUUUUCAUUAGUUUUAAAUGAUGUGGCCAGUUAAUAAGCAAGGUUACUUUCUGUGCCUCAGUUAGACUUACAUGUGUAGCACCUACAUCAGAAAAUUUUGAAGACUUGUGGAGGCUUUUGGCAGGACUGUGUAUAUUGUAAUUUUUCCUGACAAUGUAUCCCAGGAACAUUUGCUUCCAAGUUAUAGGCCCAUAUUUCUGACUUGGUUUUGGCAAAACAAACCCAGAGAUGGUCGUUUCUCAGGUUUUAAAUGUGAUCACCUACCCUAGGAAUAAGGUCAAACUUCAUCACAUGCAAACACUGCAGACCAUUGAGAUUGACGACGACGAGGUUUGAGGAAUGGAAGGUUUUGUUGUGGACUCUUCUCCAUGAUUGAAAAUAAAGCCUAAGCUUAGUAUGGGUUUGUAUUUGAUGCGAAGUAUAUGUGCACCGCACCGCUUAAGUGUGAUUAUAUUUAAGUAUUUCGGAGUAUUAUGAAUAUUUUUCCCGUUUCCAUAUCAUUUUUUGUACAUGCAAAAGAGGAAUGAUGCGGAAACUAUCAUUUUCGCUCUAGGAUGAUUUCUCCUCUCUGCAAGCUAAUAUAUCUGGUCACCGUGUCAAUUAAUUCCUUUUUCUUUAUUCUUCACUUGAGAGAUUGGAAGCAAGUAAACGUCGUCUUAUGUAUUACUUAAGUAGGAAUUCCAUUUCACUUCAACACGUCGAAAUUGAUAGUUGUUUUGAAAUGUUAUCAAAUGUGAUUGCUUAGAGCCUUGAAUGAAUUAGUCUAGUUCUUGAGAACCAUACCACGGUUUCUUAUUCCAUAUAUAUGUAUGUAUGUAUAGAUUAAAUAAUAGAAAAUGUAACGUUACAAUUAAUUCAAUAAAUUUAAAUCGUAUUGUCUUGUCUACGACAUUCAUAAUGAAUAUAAUGCUGGUGCGUGUUCUUGAUUUCAUAUGUGACCUUGAGCAUGUUCUAGAUUGAUGAUAUUACGUUCGUUUACAUUCCAUUGUCUAACUAACAGUAGUUUGUCUGUAACAAAUGAAAUUCUUGUCUUUGCCUCAUAAAGGUGGAACUGAUUAAUAGAUUUGGGAGUUGAGUAUUACUUGCACGUGGACGAACUGCCUAUUCAAUUAUGCAUGUUUAUAUGAAGAUGCUGGUAAAAAAAAAAAUAAAAAAAAAAUUGCAAGCUGAAACCUGGCCAAGUGGACAUGUACAGUAAUUCCCUGUUGAAAUAACUUCUAAAUGACUUUUUUUGCCCCAACUGGAAAACAAUUAUUAUGCGCAAUGAGCAACUUGGCCGCUUACUGGAGAUCUAUUAAACUAAUAUUCUGCCAAGUUGUGCGAACCCAAGUUGGUAUCACGAGGAUUAUGUAUUAUGAUGUAUGCAUGAAUGAAUGCUAGUUUCUCAAAGGUAUUCCUUUCGUUACUAUUCUCUUAACAUCGCUAAGGAGCAGCAAGACUAAGUGGCAAAGUUUGUCUCCGUAGCGAGACAUUUGUGUUCAAGGCUUAAAUGCUAUGCUAUCACGUUGAUGCAGGAGCUAUAAGAGUGAUGAGGUAAACUGUAGAUGGAAAAAAAAAUAGUGACCUGUUGAAAGAUUCAUGUGUGAUAUUUGAUUCUUGUAAAAGAAGAAAGGAAAUCUGUGUGCCCAAAGAAAGGAAAUCUAAUUUACCUUCUCCAUAUCCGUAAACAUAGUAGCUUAUGUUGGGGAGCCUGAUAAAAGAAUCAAAAUUGUUGUGGCAAGCAACUAUAUAUGUUUAUCGAUUGCAGCUUUAUUUCUUCGACCAAUUGUGGGCUUGGGCAAGCCAUCAAACUUCGGCUUUGCCUGAAAAUCUGGUCUCAAACUCCAUUUUGAAGUUGGCCAGAUAGAUGGGGAUCUAGCCUCGUCAUAUAAACAUGAUGUGCUCGAUGAUUUCUUAACACCAGAGGGGCUAUCAGUUCGGCAAAUGUCCUCCAAAGCAAGUGGCCCAGAAUUUGAGGCACUAGCUUCAGAAUCUGUGGUCAAUGAAGCUCGGCUUGCUGAUUUCUGUCUGAGAGCCAGGCCUUUUCCUGUUCUUGAUGGAAACCCACAGGCGCCGCUAUUAUCCUCCCUCAAGAGCGUCUCCUCGGUAGCAGGCAAAAUAUCAGGCUGCUCCUCAAUCUCGCUCAAAAUGAUAUCAACUAGACUUUUAGAUUUUCGGUGACGACUCAGAGGUUGGUGGGUCGAAGCUAAGUUCUGCGAGGAUGAUACAUCUUCGGAGAAAUUAGAAGCCCCUUUUCCGUUCACUGCCAUCUGAAAGUCAUCGGAUAUGGUUUUCUUGUCCAUCGGUUUAAUUCUAUAGAAACCUUGCAAAGAGUUCCCACCCGGGGAGGACUUCCGCAGCGGAGAAUCCGUUGUCAAAGAAUGUUGCAAAUCAAACAGUUCAUCCGGCGUCCUGUGUCUGUAGAGCAGGGAAACGUUUUGGUCAUCAGUGUAUUAUAUGUCAAAUAGAACACCACUCACACCCAAAUAGAAACUGUGUAGUGCAAUUAAAAGUGAUAUGAUACAUCAUUCUUGGGUUUCCAUAAGCUUCAAAUGUCGUUUUUUAUGUCUUCACAUCUUACUAUGUGUCACCUAAUGCAACAAACUAUUUAAAUUCCAACCUUC
This is an RNA transcript of Prosopis cineraria, 7335 nucleotides long. It is a transcript of the gene named ENHANCER OF AG-4 protein 2, with no coding region annotated. NCBI's taxonomy places the organism in Eukaryota, Viridiplantae, Streptophyta, Magnoliopsida, Fabales, Fabaceae. The transcript has 14 exons. The record is from RefSeq and is a predicted model, not a curated record.